This 30-nucleotide non-coding RNA is filed under the name Rattus norvegicus (Norway rat). The record is from RNAcentral. Lineage: Eukaryota; Metazoa; Chordata; Mammalia; Rodentia; Muridae.
UCCUAUCCAGAAGGCAGAACGCACUCCCUC